AUGAACGCUAGCGGCAGGCUUAAUACAUGCAAGUUGAGGGGCAGCAUGAUAUACGCGAGUAUAUUGAUGGCGACCGGCGGACGGGUGAGUAAUAGGUAGGAGACCUACCUCAUACAGGGGGAUAGCAUAGAGAAAUCUGUGGUAAUACCCCAUGAGGUUAUAUGAAUAGAGGCAUAUAAUCAAAGCAUAAGCGAUUAUGCGGUAUGAGAGGGGCCUACUGACCAUUAGCUAGUUGGUGAGGUAAGGGCUCACCAAGGCGAAGAUGGUUAGGGGUUUGUAGAGAGAGACCCCCACCAUUGGAACUGAGAGACGGUCCAGACUCCUACGGGAGGCAGCAGUAGGGAAUAUUGGGCAAUGGGCGAAAGCCUGACCCAGCCAUGCCGCGUGAAGGAAGACGGCCUUAUGGGUUGUAAACUUCUUUACUACGCGAAUAGAGGUUAGUACGAGAUACUAAUAGGAAGGUAGUGUAGUAAAAAGCACCGGCUAACUCCGUG
This 494-nucleotide ribosomal RNA is filed under the name uncultured bacterium. RNAcentral's name for it is "bacterial SSU rRNA". It matches the Rfam family "Bacterial small subunit ribosomal RNA", at positions 30 to 507 of the family's 1533-position model. The record is from RNAcentral.